AGUGAACGCUGGCGGUAGGCCUAACACAUGCAAGUCGAACGGCAGCACAGUAAGAGCUUGCUCUUACGGGUGGCGAGUGGCGGACGGGCGAGGAAUACAUCGGAAUCUACUUUUUCAUGGGGGAUAACGUAGGGAAACUUACGCUAAUACCGCAUACGACCUACGGGUGAAAGCAGGGGAUCUUCGGACCUUGCGCGAUUGAAUGAGCCGAUGUCGGAUUAGCUAGUUGGCGGGGUAAAGGCCCACCAAGGCGACGAUCCGUAGCUGGUCUGAGAGGAUGAUCAGCCACACUGGAACUGAGACACGGUCCAGACUCCUACGGGAGGCAGCAGUGGGGAAUAUUGGACAAUGGGCGCAAGCCUGAUCCAGCCGUACCGCGUGGGUGAAGAAGGCCUUCGGGUUGUAAAGCCCUUUUGUUGGGAAAGAAAAGCAGCAGGUUAAUACCCCGCUGUUCUGACGGUACCCAAAGAAUAAGCACCGGCUAACUUCGUG
RNAcentral lists this ribosomal RNA (492 nucleotides) under uncultured bacterium. RNAcentral describes it as "partial 16S ribosomal RNA". It matches the Rfam family "Bacterial small subunit ribosomal RNA", at positions 29 to 507 of the family's 1533-position model. The record is from RNAcentral.